GUACGAGAUCAGGUCAGAUCAUGUCUGUCCCUUGUCCGACUCUAAAUAUUGGUCGGAUCUAAUUUUUGAGUCCAAACUCGAUACUAGACCCGAUCUUUUUUGGACCCAAUUGUCGGACCAAAUUGAGUGAGCAAUAAGUAAGGUCGGAUCCUAAUCACCCAUGCUGCUUAGACCUGUUCUUGUAAUAUCAUUAUGAUAGAUAUUUACUCAAUCCUAAUCAUAUAAUUCAUGGGAUUCUUGAUCACAUCCUUCGAUGUCGACCUGGAUCAUGGCCAGAAGACUAAAUUGUAAGUGAAUGCAAUGUGUAAAACCUAACACCGACGCAAAUUUCAACGACAACUUGCACAGAAGUUAGCUAGGUUGGAU
Molecule: non-coding RNA, 366 nt
Organism: Lupinus albus (white lupine)
Lineage: Eukaryota; Viridiplantae; Streptophyta; Magnoliopsida; Fabales; Fabaceae
Source: the annotation of a GenBank genome assembly